This 270-nucleotide ribosomal RNA is filed under the name uncultured archaeon. RNAcentral's name for it is "partial 16S ribosomal RNA". It matches the Rfam family "Archaeal small subunit ribosomal RNA", at positions 477 to 747 of the family's 1478-position model. The record is from RNAcentral.
CAGCACCUCAAGUGGUCAGGAUGAUUAUUGGGCUUAAAGCGUCCGUAGCCGGCUUAGCAAGUCUCCUGUUAAAUUCAGCGACCUAAUCGUUGAGCCGCGGGAGAUACUACUAGGCUAGGAGGCGGGAGAGGUCGACGGUACUUCUGGGGUAGGGGUGAAAUCCUAUAAUCCCGGGAGGACCACCAGUGGCGAAGGCUGUCGACUAGAACGCGCUCGACAGUGAGGGACGAAAGCUGGGGGAGCGAACCGGAUUGGAUACCCGAGUAGUCG